AUGAACGCUGGCGGCGUGCCUAAUACAUGCAAGUCGAGCGAACAGACGAGGAGCUUGCUCCUCUGACGUUAGCGGCGGACGGGUGAGUAACACGUGGAUAACCUACCUAUAAGACUGGGAUAACUUCGGGAAACCGGAGCUAAUACCGGAUAAUAUAUUGAACCGCAUGGUUCAAUAGUUAAAGACGGUUUUGCUGUCACUUAUAGAUGGAUCCGCGCCGCAUUAGCUAGUUGGUAAGGUAACGGCUUACCAAGGCAACGAUGCGUAGCCGACCUGAGAGGGUGAUCGGCCACACUGGAACUGAGACACGGUCCAGACUCCUACGGGAGGCAGCAGUAGGGAAUCUUCCGCAAUGGGCGAAAGCUUGACGGAGCAACGCCGCGUGAGUGAUGAAGGUCUUCGGAUCGUAAAACUCUGUUAUUAGGGAAGAACAAAUGUGUAAGUAACUAUGCACGUCUUGACGGUACCUAAUCAGAAAGCCACGGCUAACUACGUG
RNAcentral lists this ribosomal RNA (496 nucleotides) under uncultured bacterium. RNAcentral's name for it is "partial 16S ribosomal RNA". It matches the Rfam family "Bacterial small subunit ribosomal RNA", at positions 29 to 507 of the family's 1533-position model. The record is from RNAcentral.